Molecule: ribosomal RNA, 480 nt
Filed under: Salmonella enterica subsp. enterica serovar Infantis
Lineage: Bacteria; Pseudomonadati; Pseudomonadota; Gammaproteobacteria; Enterobacterales; Enterobacteriaceae
Also listed under: 2 other names
Description: partial 23S ribosomal RNA
Rfam family: Bacterial large subunit ribosomal RNA
Source: RNAcentral
AAUCCAUAGGUUAAUGAGGCGAACCGGGGGAACUGAAACAUCUAAGUACCCCGAGGAAAAGAAAUCAACCGAGAUUCCCCCAGUAGCGGCGAGCGAACGGGGAGGAGCCCAGAGCCUGAAUCAGCAUGUGUGUUAGUGGAAGCGUCUGGAAAGGCGCGCGAUACAGGGUGACAGCCCCGUACACAAAAGCGCAUGUGCUGUGAGCUCGAUGAGUAGGGCGGGACACGUGGUAUCCUGUCUGAAUAUGGGGGGACCAUCCUCCAAGGCUAAAUACUCCUGACUGACCGAUAGUGAACCAGUACCGUGAGGGAAAGGCGAAAAGAACCCCGGCGAGGGGAGUGAAAAAGAACCUGAAACCGUGUACGUACAAGCAGUGGGAGCACAGGUUUACCUGUGUGACUGCGUACCUUUUGUAUAAUGGGUCAGCGACUUAUAUUCUGUAGCAAGGUUAACCGAAUAGGGGAGCCGGAGGGAAACCGA